RNAcentral lists this ribosomal RNA (364 nucleotides) under uncultured bacterium. RNAcentral describes it as "bacterial SSU rRNA". It matches the Rfam family "Bacterial small subunit ribosomal RNA", at positions 29 to 420 of the family's 1533-position model. The record is from RNAcentral.
AACGAACGCUGGCGGCAUGCCUAACACAUGCAAGUCGAACGAACCCUUCGGGGUUAGUGGCGCACGGGUGCGUAACGCGUGGGGAUCUGCCCUUUGCUUCGGAAUAACAGUUAGAAAUGACUGCUAAUACCGGAUGAUGUCGAAAGACCAAAGAUUUAUCGGCAAAGGAUGAACCCGCGUAGGAUUAGCUAGUUGGUAGGGUAAAGGCCUACCAAGGCGACGAUCCUUAGCUGGUCUGAGAGGAUGAUCAGCCACACUGGGACUGAGACACGGCCCAGACUCCUACGGGAGGCAGCAGUGGGGAAUAUUGGACAAUGGGCGAAAGCCUGAUCCAGCAAUGCCGCGUGAGUGAUGAAGGCCUCGG